Cavia porcellus (domestic guinea pig) is the source of this 71-nucleotide transfer RNA. It matches the Rfam family "tRNA". From Rfam's summary of the family: Transfer RNA (tRNA) molecules are approximately 80 nucleotides in length. Their secondary structure includes four short double-helical elements and three loops (D, anti-codon, and T loops). Lineage: Eukaryota; Metazoa; Chordata; Mammalia; Rodentia; Caviidae. The record is from Rfam.
UGGGAUUUAGCUCAGUGGCAUAAGCACCUGCCUUGCAAGCAGGUGGUGGUGAGUUCGAUCCUCAGUACCAA